AACGAACGCUGGCGGCAGGCUUAACACAUGCAAGUCGAACGCCCCGCAAGGGGAGUGGCAGACGGGUGAGUAACGCGUGGGAAUCUACCGUACCCUACGGAAUAACGCAUGGAAACGUGUGCUAAUACCGUAUACGCCCUACGGGGGAAAGAUUUAUCGGGGUAUGAUGAGCCCGCGUUGGAUUAGCUUAAUUGGUGGGG
RNAcentral lists this ribosomal RNA (200 nucleotides) under uncultured bacterium. Its description in RNAcentral is "partial 16S ribosomal RNA". It matches the Rfam family "Bacterial small subunit ribosomal RNA", at positions 29 to 257 of the family's 1533-position model. The record is from RNAcentral.